GCCGGGCAUGGUGGCACGUGCCUGUAAUCCCAGCUACUCAGGAGGCUGAGGCAGAAGAAUCGCUUGAACCCAGGAGGCGGAGGUUGCAGUGAGCUGAGAUCACGCCACUGCACUCCAGCCUGGGUGACAGAGCGAGACUCUGUCUCAA
RNAcentral lists this signal recognition particle RNA (148 nucleotides) under Nomascus leucogenys (northern white-cheeked gibbon). Its description in RNAcentral is "Metazoan signal recognition particle RNA". It matches the Rfam family "Metazoan signal recognition particle RNA". From Rfam's summary of the family: The signal recognition particle (SRP) is a universally conserved ribonucleoprotein. It is involved in the co-translational targeting of proteins to membranes. The record is from Rfam by way of RNAcentral. Lineage: Eukaryota; Metazoa; Chordata; Mammalia; Primates; Hylobatidae.